CCCUUAGAUGUUCUGGGCUGCACGCGCGCUACACUGAUGCGUUCAACGAGUCUAAAACCUGCUCUGAUAGGGGUGGGUAAUCUUUUGAAUGUGCAUCGUGAUUGGGAUAGAUGAUUGCAAUUUUUCAUCUUCAACGAGGAAUGCCUAGUAAACGCAAGUCAUCAGCUUGCAUUGAUUACGUCCCUGCCCUUUGUACACACCGCCCGUCGCUCCUACCGAUUGAAUGAUCCGAUGAAUAUCAUGGAUUGAGGAUGCAAGUAGGUUCGCCUAUCUUCAUCUUCGAGAAGUGAAGUAAAUCUUAUCAUUUAGAGGAAGGAGAAGUCGUAACA
RNAcentral lists this ribosomal RNA (329 nucleotides) under uncultured eukaryote. RNAcentral describes it as "partial 18S ribosomal RNA". It matches the Rfam family "Eukaryotic small subunit ribosomal RNA", at positions 1470 to 1796 of the family's 1831-position model. The record is from RNAcentral.